Molecule: ribosomal RNA, 377 nt
Filed under: uncultured Glomus
Lineage: Eukaryota; Fungi; Glomeromycota; Glomeromycetes; Glomerales; Glomeraceae
Description: bacterial SSU rRNA
Rfam family: Eukaryotic small subunit ribosomal RNA
Source: RNAcentral
UGAAUUUCGGGAUCAAGGAUUUGGUCAUGCCACUGGUAUGCACUCUGACAGCUGUUCGCAGCUUCUUGAUGAGCCGUAAUGCCAUUAAUUUGGUGUUGCGGGGAAUCAGGACUGUUACUUUGAAAAAAUUAGAGUGUUUAAAGCAGGCAAGCGCUUGAAUACAUUAGCAUGGAAUAAUGAAAUAGGACGUUCGAUCCUAUUUUGUUGGUUUCUAGGAUUGACGUAAUGAUUAAUAGGGAUAGUUGGGGGCAUUAGUAUUCAAUUGUCAGAGGUGAAAUUCUUGGAUUUAUUGAAGACUAACUACUGCGAAAGCAUUUGCCAAGGAUGUUUUCAUUAAUCAAGAACGAAAGUUAGGGGAUCGAAGACGAUCAGAUACC